GAUGAAGAACGCAGCGAAUUGCGAUAUGUAAUGUGAAUUGCAGAUUUUCAGUGAAUCAUCGAAUCUUUGAACGCACAUUGCGCCCCUUGGUAUUCCGAGGGGCAUGCCUGUUCGAGCGUCAUUAUAACCCCUCAAGCUCAGCUUGGUGUUGGGGCCUGCUGCACUGGCAGCCCUUAAAAUCAGUGGCGGCGCCAUCUGGCUCUAAGCGUAGUAAUUCUUCUCGCUAUGGAGUCCUGGUGGAUGCUUGCCAUCAACCCCCAAUUUUUCUAUGGUUGACCUCGGAUCAGGUAGGGAUACCCGCUGAACUUAAGCAUAUCAAUAAGCGGAGGA
RNAcentral lists this unclassified non-coding RNA (330 nucleotides) under soil metagenome. Its description in RNAcentral is "partial contains 5.8S ribosomal RNA, internal transcribed spacer 2, and large subunit ribosomal RNA". The stretch from base 1 to 121 matches the Rfam family "5.8S ribosomal RNA", at positions 35 to 154 of the family's 154-position model. The record is from RNAcentral.